Gossypium raimondii (Peruvian cotton) is the source of this 107-nucleotide small nucleolar RNA. It matches the Rfam family "Plant small nucleolar RNA R71". From Rfam's summary of the family: R71 is a member of the C/D box family of snoRNAs containing the C (UGAUGA) and D (CUGA) box motifs. Multiple nearly identical copies of this snoRNA have been identified in Arabidopsis, and it is thought to function as a 2'-O-ribose methylation guide for 18S ribosomal RNA. The record is from Rfam. Lineage: Eukaryota; Viridiplantae; Streptophyta; Magnoliopsida; Malvales; Malvaceae.
AUUCUGUGAUGAGGACACUUUCUUAACAGCAACUUAAAUCAUUCCCAAGCCUCGUAGAAAGUUUUGCCAUCCAUCUGCUUAAAAUUCACAAUAUCGCGCCUAAGUUG